GACGCACGCCGGCGGCGUGCUUAACACAUGCAAGUCGAACGUGAUUUUUGUAGAAAUUCUUUCGGGAAUGGAAAUGAAAUGAAAGUGGCGAACGGGUGAGUAACACGUGAGCAACCUACCUUACACAGGGGGAUAGCCGUUGGAAACGACGAUUAAUACCGCAUGAGACCACAGAAUCGCAUGAUAUAGGGGUCAAAGAUUUAUCGGUGUAAGAAGGGCUCGCGUCUGAUUAGCUAGUUGGAAGGGUAAAGGCCUACCAAGGCGACGAUCAGUAGCCGGUCUGAGAGGAUGAACGGCCACAUUGGAACUGAGACACGGUCCAAACUCCUACGGGAGGCAGCAGUGGGGAACAUUGCACAAUGGGGGGAACCCUGAUGCAGCGACGCCGCGUGAGCGAAGAAGGUUUUCGAAUCGUAAAGCUCUGUCCUAUGAGAAGAUAAUGACGGUAUCAUAGGAGGAAGCCCCGGCUAAAUACGUGCCAGCAGCCGCGGUAAUACGUAUGGGGCGAGCGUUGUCCGGAAUUAUUGGGCGUAAAGGGUACGUAGGCGGUUUUUUAAGUCAGGUGUGAAAGCGUGAGGCUUAACCUCAUUAAGCACUUGAAACUGGAAGACUUGAGUGAAGGAGAGGAAAGUGGAAUUCCUAGUGUAGCGGUGAAAUGCGUAGAUAUUAGGAGGAAUACCGGUGGCGAAGGCGACUUUCUGGACUUUUACUGACGCUCAGGUACGAAAGCGUGGGGAGCAAACAGG
This 746-nucleotide ribosomal RNA is filed under the name uncultured Parvimonas sp. RNAcentral describes it as "bacterial SSU rRNA". It matches the Rfam family "Bacterial small subunit ribosomal RNA", at positions 28 to 776 of the family's 1533-position model. Lineage: Bacteria; Bacillati; Bacillota; Tissierellia; Tissierellales; Peptoniphilaceae. The record is from RNAcentral.